Molecule: RNA transcript, 5589 nt
Organism: Homarus americanus (American lobster)
Lineage: Eukaryota; Metazoa; Arthropoda; Malacostraca; Decapoda; Nephropidae
Gene: coro
Gene name: coronin-6-like
Exons: 12
Source: RefSeq, a predicted model, not a curated record
GGUUUCGCUGUUGUGGCGGUGGCUUGCCGCUCCAUGUGAUACUAAACUUAAGGUCUUGUGUACAAGCGUAUACACUAUUUGUUGUGAUAAUUAUACAGAUAGAAUACAACAAAGAUGUCAUUCCGACUGGUCCGACAGAGCAAGUUCCGUCAUGUAUAUGGCACAUGCUUAAAAAGGGAACAGUGCUUUGAUAAUAUACGAGUUAGCAAGUCAUCAUGGGACUCCACAUUCUGCGCCGUCAAUCCAAAAUUCUGCGCCAUAAUAGUAGAGUCGGGAGGAGGCGGUGCUUUCAUAGUCCUCCCCCUCACCAAAGUUAACAAGGAAGGGAUUUGGGAACCAGAUAGAAAGGGGAUAUUGGCUGGUCGUAUUCCUCCUGACCAUCCACUGGUGGGAGGACACAAGGGCCCAGUAUUGGAUAUUGCCUGGGAUCCUUUCAACGAUAAUGUCAUUGCUUCGGGAUCAGAGGACUGUGUGGUCAAAGUCUGGCAAAUACCCGACUAUGGCCUGGUGACGACAAUGACAGAGCCAGUGGUUGACUUAAUGUACCAUCAGCGUCGUGUAGGAAUGGUUGUGUGGCAUCCUACAGCCAAUAACAUCCUUCUAUCAGCUGGCUCAGACAAUAUUGUUGUUAUAUGGAAUGUUGGGUGUGGAGAGGCGCUUACCACCAUUGAUGCCCAUCCAGAUAUCAUUUAUUCCUGCUGCUUCAACUGGGACGGAUCUCUUCUCUUAACCACAUGCAAGGACAAGAAAAUUAGGAUAAUCAAUCCACGGGACGGUGAAGUGUUUGAGGAAGCGACAUCACAUGAAGGUAGCAAAGCUACACGAGCCAUCUUCCUGCGGAAUGGAUUGGUUUUCACAACAGGGUUCAGCAAGCGAUCAGAGCGGCAAUAUUCCUUACGUGCUCCUGGCCACCUAGACGAUCCCAUCACCAUGGUGGAGCUGGAUUCCUCUAAUGGUGUUAUGUUCCCUAUGUAUGACCCAGAUACCAACCUUGUCUACCUCUGUGGCAAAGGUGACAGUGUCAUCCGGUACUUUGAGAUCACGCCGGAGGUGCCGUUUGUUCAUUACAUCAACACGUUUCAGUUACCAGACCCUCAGCGAGGUAUUGGUAUGAUGCCAAAGCGAGGUGUUGAUGUUACUACGUGUGAAAUCACCCGCUUCUACAGACUCAACAACAGUGGCUUCUGCCAAAUUAUUACCAUGACAGUACCAAGAAAGUCUGAGUUGUUCCAAGAAGAUCUUUACCCCGACACCCCAGGUGAUAUUCCUGCAGUGAGUGCAGAAGAAUGGUGGGAGGGCCAGACAAAAGAACCCAUCCUCAUGUCUCUCAAAGAUGGCUACCAGGUCACACAGAAGACAGAGCUCAAGGUGACCAAGAAGACCAAUAUCCUAGACAGGAUGCCACCCACAGGCAAAGUAAAGUCCGAAGAAGAUGGAAAGGCAACUGCUCUCUCUUCCGAGGCUCUUGAGAAGGUCACUGAGGUCUCCAAAGUGAAUGAUGAUCUCAGGAAAAGAAUAGAUGAGUUGCAGACUGAAAUGAAAAAAUUCAAGGCUGUGUUCCUGAAGCAGGAGAACCGGAUCAGAGUUCUAGAAAACAAGCUUGGGGAGCUGACUGGAACUGGUGGAGCCCCAACUCAGACACAGGGUAAAAAAGGGACCUCUAAGAGUGUUAAGAAAUAAUUCGGAGGUGAAAGAGUGGAAUAGUGUAAUAGGUAAGGGGAAGAUUGGCAUAAUGUACUAGGCCCCAAGCACUCUUUCUGCCAACACGGUCAACAACAAUUGUGACAUGGCCCCAGAUGAGGUGUAGAUGCCAGAGACUUCCAGAACUGAGUCCCUCUGAUACAAGAAGCUGGUGAUGUUUAUGUGAGCUAUGGAGUUUGCACUCACCAUGCAAAGUCCCAGCAUCACACGGCCAGUCACACGCAGAGAUAUGGGAGGAAUCACUCUUGGGAUAUUCACAGCUCUCACAAUGAAUCUUCUCACCGACGCGUAGGAUCGUAACCGUGUUAAUUACCGUGUCUUAUUAUGUAGCCAGUUUACAAGUAUACUUGAGAAAGGUUGUACAAUACAAAACAGUAAUAAUAUCUUCUCGAGAGGUGUGUGACUGGUGCCUUGAUUGAUUAGUCAUGUGUGAGCCCAGUGAGUGUGAAAACCCUGUACAUAAUGUUUGUGUUGAGGACUCUCAAGUCCAUUGCUCAGUAGUAACCAACCAGCUGUCCAGCCAUAGCCACAUGUCUUAUAACUUGCUAUUGGUUGUUGUCAGCCAUAGCCAUUUGUCUCAUCAUAACCUGCUACUGGUUGUAUGUUCCAAACCCUGUAGGAUGUUAGUAUCUCUGUCUCCCUUGUAAUUAGCUAACAGGAUUGUCACUGUCUUUCCACUAAUAAUUUUCAUAAAUACAACAGUUGAAUGUGAUUGUUAUAGCUGAGUAUAAACUAUUUAAUAUUUAGUCAUAAAUGGAAUUUUAAAAUCUGGGAGGGUAAAUGUCUACUGUACAAAAUAUCUGUACAAAGUUGUACAAUUUUAUUAUUAAACUCCUUUCCUUAGAGAAAUAAGUAGAUAAAGAAAGCAAAAUUUUAAAUAGUUACUGGAAAUAGACCCAAUUUCCAUAGAUGUAAAAAUGUUUGAUACACAGGCUCGACUGAAAUUGCUGGCUGCUUUUUUAUUUUUAUUGUUACUUACCUCCUCUUUAUUUGGCUCAGUGCAGUUCCUAUGCAGAGUGCCCGCUUAUUAACAGCCACUAGUGAGGUUGACUGUAGCUUUAUUUGUGUAACCAUUAGGUUGAUCAUGUCCAUCAGGUUAUGGUUACAGUGCACCCCAUUGUAACUUGCUCUGGCCCAAGUACUGAACUGCCAUAGACAGUGGCUCAGAAAGGUCGACUCUAAACCCAGGUUGUCUGUACUGGCUAAUCAGGGUUCAGACUUGGAUCUCAUUUAUCCUGGCGUUGUGGUUCAGACUUGUGACCUUGUUGUCCUCAUCUUUCCCAUACUUCUGAGUAUCUACCUUUGCCCAGUAUCAUCUGGUGAUUUAAACUAUUUAUUAAUAUUUGAUGUGUUAGACUAAUGUUUCCCUGAGUAUGGUGGGAAUAUCAUGGAACACAGAGGCAGUGAUGUGACAGAUUCUCAGGUGGCCAUAGCUGUGGGGAACUUGGGACAUCACUAAUGGUAAAUGACAUUAUUAUAAAUAAGUAUUUGCUAGGACAUUGAGCAUUGUUCACCUACUGCAAGACAUACUGGGUGGUAUGCUUUGUCGGCUUGUUCAUGUCAUCACUCCCGUGUUCCCGUCACUGGUCACCACCCUGUCUUAAUGUUCCUUUGGAGAGGUGCUCAAAAUUAGCACUGGUAAUUUGUGUUUACAGCUUAUUUUGUUGUCUUGCAGAUGGUAACCAUUUUUUUUUGUCAGAUAUGUAAAUCAAUUACUAUUGCUUUAUGCCUCUAAACAGGGAGGGAUAUUGGAAUUUAUUUUUAUCUUAUGUCUUAUUAUUAUUAUACUAAAAAGGAUGGACAAAUGAAACAAAUGUUUUAGAUUAUAUAAAUAUAUUAAAUAUUCAGAUGCUAAAGAAGGUAAGCUGUAAUCCCUCGACAGGAAUGAUCCACUCAACACACAUUAAUUUAAGCUGUAGAUACGAGAAUCCUUGUUUUGAAGCCAAAGCCUUUGUAAAGUAGCUGUGGGCUACAUUCACUUUGUUUUAAAAAGUUUUUAUCAUCAUCAGAAAAGGAAUAUGCAGCGAUUUUUACUUUUAAUGAUUUUUAACAAAUUUGAGUCACUUAAAAUACUAGUCUGCAUUUUUCCUGGGAUGAUAACAUGCUUAGCGAAAGUUAUUCUGUAUUGUUGUGUUCAUUAGUAAGGAGUGGGGUAGUGAAGAACUCGAGAAACUUGAAUCCCGAUGUUUUGAAAAACUCUUGAGAAAGUUGGAAAGGGUGUUAUAACAUAUACCUGCAGAUUUGGAAAGAAUAAGGUCCUAGUGAGAAAGAAAUUUGCUCAAUUUUUAUGCUUUCAAUUGGAAAGAUGAUUAACAAGACUUGAAGAUCUUGGACUUGUUUAUUUAUUUAUUUAGUAAACUCACUCACUUUGUCACUUGAGCCUCAAGAUAAAUUAUUCUGAUUGUUGUGUGUGAUUCAUGCGCAGUGUUUGUUCAGCAUUUAUGAUAAGUGGUGCUAUGCUAUAAUUGUUGUCAACAAUAGUUUUAUAUGUAUACAUGUAAUUCCAUGAUGAUAAUCUGACUAUGCUCUUAAAUGUUGUAAACCAUAGAUUUAUAUGUAUACUUAUAAAUCUUAUGUAAAUUAUGUCUACAAUGUAAUUAUUGUAUGCCUUAUUUUAUGUGUAUACAUCUAACUAAUUCGGUCCCAAAUAUUUGUGCCUUAAAUGCAGGGCAUGUUUUAAUGCUCUGCAGUACCCCACCCCUUACCAUUUGCUGCAUAACAGAUUUAAGGACUUAUAUGUGCCAUUACAAUAUUUAAAGUUUGAAAUGUUGUUGUUGUUCAACACAAGCCAGGAUCACUCUGGAACCUCCAACUACACUGGCUUGAGAUGGGACACAUGUUAAGGAAAUACAGUAACAAAACUAAGUAUCAACUUCUUUUUAUACCAGAAUUGUGUUUUUUUUUGUUUUAUCAGCUUCAGAUAAGUGUACUAAUACAGUAUGAUGCACAAUAGAACCUUGAUAAUUUAUACACAACCAGUGAAGAAAACGGGAAGAACUUUUUGAAGGCAAUUCAUUCACAAUAGAGCUCAUUCUCACAUUGGUGUUCCACUGCCUGCAAUCAGUUAAAAUACAAGAUACAGUGCCUGUAAUUUUUCCUUUUCCUGGAAUGCUGAAACUAUCCCUUCUUAGUUACCUUCAGUGUGUCUACAUAACUGAUAUCUCCAUUAUUAAUAUUGAUUGUUUUAAUUACCCCUUUGGUUAUUUUCAUCAAUUUUACCAGUUAUUAGCUUUUGUGAAUUAUUGUUUUGUAAAAUAUCAAGGUUCUAUUGUACCAAACACUGUAUAUUUUAAGUCCAGAAAGAAUUUUAAAAGAUUCAGUUAUAAAGAAAUUCGUUCCAGAUUGGCUAUUGAUGUCAUAUUUGUCAGUUUGAGAAAAAUAUAUGUGGUGUUACAGAAGUUUAACUAAUAGGAUUUUAAGCAUCAAUAGGUUCAUUUGACAUGUCUCAUAAUUAUUGAAAAGAAGAUUAAUGUGUGAUAAAGUAUACACAUUAUAGAGCACUUCCUUAAAAGAUCUGGGAGAGACAAGCCCAUGUUGCACUUCAUUGGCUUAUCAUGACCAGUAUUUUUAAGAGAAGUGCUCCCGAUGUUUAUACCUCAUUGUGUGCAACAAUCAGCAUGUCAAUAGCUUUAUUUCCAGACAGCCAAAAGGAACCAACUACCUUUAAUAAUUGUCACAAGUCAGUUUCAAGAAUUUUUUCCUUUAUAAAUAUGAAUUUCAUUCACCAUUAUGUUUAAAUGUGAUCUGCUGGUCAUCUACAUCAUUGUGUCCAGGGAGAGUUGGCCGUGUUGCACAUCUGCAGAACCUUAAUCAGAUGACUGCAUUUGCUGUACUUAAUGCACAAAUUUUUGUAAUUGUAUUGAGAGUAAAUAGAGUUUUCUAGAAAUA